Molecule: long non-coding RNA, 1725 nt
Organism: Triticum aestivum (bread wheat)
Lineage: Eukaryota; Viridiplantae; Streptophyta; Magnoliopsida; Poales; Poaceae
Exons: 2
Source: RefSeq, a predicted model, not a curated record
CCAGGGAUCGGAUAGCCUCGCCCGCAUCACAGGCUUGUUCGGCCCGCCGGGUGCGUGCGGCUGGCGACGGCCAAGGCCUCGCGAUCGUCGUACGUACGUAUCGCCGCGGACCCGGAUCGGCUGGAGUCAGGUUGAUGAUGUGGGGACCUUUCGCUGGCUGUUUCGUCGAAACGUAGGUGGGCGUGUUGGCUAGAACCGAAGCGUGCGUGUCGACAAGCGGGGCUGCUGGUGGAGGAAUUCCGCCUGUCGUCCUUGCCCGUCUUGAUCGCUCAUGGGGCCGGUCGGGCACGUUUCGGGAGAGUGCUCAAGUGGUCGGAACUGCAACUGUUUAUCGCCACAAUCAGCUCAGGCACUUUCGGAACCGCCACAGGUCUGCCGCAUUCUACCGUGGGCACCUUCUGUACUGCUUCGACGCUUCUGUUUUCGGGAUCUAUAACUGCCGAACAUUCGGAUUUUCUAGACCUGGAGCCAAACAUGCUCAUAGCCGCGGCACGAAUCAAGAUGCUCCACCGUUGCCACGUCAUUCCAGGCACUCGUUCGGGUUGAAGGCGAUUUCACACGAACGGUUUUUUCUCGCACUGGGUACCUUAUCCUUUCCCCCGAGCACUGCCUCACCCACUCCUCCAAGUCUAGCCUCACGUUAUCCUCCCGGCGAUUACAGCGGCGAGUCCUUCCGGCGAUUGGAGCGGCGGCAGGAGGCGCGCGAGUGCGGCGGAGAGGAUGCGGGAGGGCUGCGUCCCUGUGAUAGGGCGACGCCCGCCGGGCACCACGCUGCGGCCCUGCGGGAGGAGGCGGCGGCGAGGAUGCGGUCGGCGGGGGGAGGCGGUGGCGAGGAUGCGGUCGGCGGGAGGGAGGCGGCGGCCGGUAGAAGCUGUUCCGACGAAUUGGGAGCUCCUCCUGCACGUCGAGAGCACCGUCCGGCACCACGCGCGCGCGCAUGCCGCGUCGGGGAGUGCGAGCAGCGUGGCGCUGCCGGUCGCGCCCGCCACCCACAUCCUGACGCGGCAGCGUGGUCGGCGGGGACCCGUUCGUGGCGUCGCGUUGCCGGGUCGCGCGAGUGCGGCGGCGAGGAUGUGGGAUGGCUGCAUCGGGCGGCCACGUAGUCGACAGAUAUGGAGGCGGCCGCGACACUUGAGAAGAGGGAGCGGCUAGUGAUGGGGCCGAGGGUUGGGUGCUACCGUCGUCGCACACGGUCGCUCAGGAGAGCCGCCGGCUAUGGAGGACGUCGAGUGGCGGUGGCAGUCGCUCCCGCUUCUGUUUUCAGGUGCAGCCGCUCCUGCUUUUGCUCCGAGUGUAUCACGGCGUCGUCAGCUGUCGACCCCUCCAUUUGGGGCUUGCUCGAGGAACAAGUCCAGUCCUGGUGCGUGGGGAGUUCAGGCUGGAGCGUUCUCCUUCCGAACUGAGAAGUUCGAUCGAUGCCCAUCCUGUUCCGAACGAAACGUUCGGUACGGGGUGCUCCCAGACCGAACGGUCGGGAGUUAUCGGCGUCCGUUUUACCUUUCUGGUUCACUCGUCCUUCCCGAUCCGUGUUCAGUUGCUGCAUCCGGCAAGAGCAAGGUGCCCGUCUACAUUUAUGUCAAUCUUGAUGACUUGCUCUACUCUCGAUUUGUGCUCCCAGACCAAAAGAUUCAUACGAGGGGACAAUAGACCCAUCUCCAAAACUAAAAAAUUCGGACCUGCACCAUAAAUGGUUGUGAUUUUUUUAAGUGAAUGGUUGUGAUCUUC